This 497-nucleotide ribosomal RNA is filed under the name uncultured bacterium. RNAcentral's name for it is "partial 16S ribosomal RNA". It matches the Rfam family "Bacterial small subunit ribosomal RNA", at positions 28 to 507 of the family's 1533-position model. The record is from RNAcentral.
GAUGAACGCUGGCGGCGUGCCUAAUACAUGCAAGUCGAGCGAACAGACGAGGAGCUUGCUCCUUCGACGUUAGCGGCGGACGGGUGAGUAACACGUAGGUAACCUACCUAUAAGACUGGGAUAACUUCGGGAAACCGGAGCUAAUACCGGAUAAUAUUUCGAACCGCAUGGUUCGAUAGUGAAAGAUGGCUUUGCUAUCACUUAUAGAUGGACCUGCGCCGUAUUAGCUAGUUGGUAAGGUAACGGCUUACCAAGGCAACGAUACGUAGCCGACCUGAGAGGGUGAUCGGCCACACUGGAACUGAGACACGGUCCAGACUCCUACGGGAGGCAGCAGUAGGGAAUCUUCCGCAAUGGGCGAAAGCCUGACGGAGCAACGCCGCGUGAGUGAUGAAGGUCUUCGGAUCGUAAAACUCUGUUAUUAGGGAAGAACAAACGUGUAAGUAACUGUGCACGUCUCGACGGUACCUAAUCAGAAAGCCACGGCUAACUACGUG